RNAcentral lists this ribosomal RNA (573 nucleotides) under uncultured bacterium. RNAcentral describes it as "partial 16S ribosomal RNA". It matches the Rfam family "Bacterial small subunit ribosomal RNA", at positions 355 to 920 of the family's 1533-position model. The record is from RNAcentral.
UGGGGAAUUUUGGACAAUGGGCGAAAGCCUGAUCCAGCAAUGCCGCGUGUGUGAAGAAGGCCUUCGGGUUGUAAAGCACUUUUGUCCGGAAAGAAAUCCUUGGCUCUAAUACAGUCGGGGGAUGACGGUACCGGAAGAAUAAGCACCGGCUAACUACGUGCCAGCAGCCGCGGUAAUACGUAGGGUGCAAGCGUUAAUCGGAAUUACUGGGCGUAAAGCGUGCGCAGGCGGUUUGCUAAGACCGAUGUGAAAUCCCCGGGCUCAACCUGGGAACUGCAUUGGUGACUGGCAGGCUAGAGUAUGGCAGAGGGGGGUAGAAUUCCACGUGUAGCAGUGAAAUGCGUAGAGAUGUGGAGGAAUACCGAUGGCGAAGGCAGCCCCCUGGGCCAAAUACUGACGCUCAUGCACGAAAGCGUGGGGAGCAAACAGGAUUAGAUACCCUGGUAGUCCACGCCCUAAACGAUGUCAACUAGUUGUUGGGGAUUCAUUUCCUUAGUAACGUAGCUAACGCGUGAAGUUGACCGCCCGGGGAGUACGGUCGCAAGAUUAAAACUCAAAGGAAUUGACGGGGUC